Molecule: long non-coding RNA, 539 nt
Organism: Pocillopora damicornis (cauliflower coral)
Lineage: Eukaryota; Metazoa; Cnidaria; Anthozoa; Scleractinia; Pocilloporidae
Source: RefSeq, a predicted model, not a curated record
CGCAUAAGUCGAACCUAGACCACGUGCGUCGGAAACAAUAAUGAAUUAUAGCAGCGAAUUCAUCAGUGAAGAGGCUGUUUCUUGGCUACAGUCGCAUGGAAUGAGACUUAAUAAAGGAAAGGUAAGCAAAAGAAAUUUCCUAACAACGCAUUUUACUGCAACUUUACAUUCACAAACUUGACCGCUCCAUUGAUCUUUGUUCGUAUCUUAUCUUGCAGAAAAGGACGGUUGCGAUGGCCAAGAUCUCCUUGCCAUCGCCCAAGAUGCAGACGUACCAAGGCACUACAUCCUUAUUAUAAAAGAGCGUCUAAAGUUCAAGAAAUUGAUUGCAAUGAACGCUGAACCUAGAGAUGACACGAGUUCUUCGUCGCGUGCAGAAUCAAGUCCUUCGAGUAAGACGGUUCAAACGUCGAUUGAUGAUUCAGAUAACAUCAGCGAUUAUGAAAAUUUAGAGGUGACAUUGGCACCGUAAGAAAAGAGUAAAUCGCCCAAGGAUCUCUGUUUUACGGACGAGGCGACAGAACUGAGUACUGUCUAAG